Molecule: long non-coding RNA, 886 nt
Organism: Salvelinus sp. IW2-2015
Lineage: Eukaryota; Metazoa; Chordata; Actinopteri; Salmoniformes; Salmonidae
Source: RefSeq, a predicted model, not a curated record
CCUUCAUUCAAUGUGGCUCCGUUGUUUCAUCGCCCCAAUGCGUUCAAAGGAUCACAGAUGUUUUAGACUGAAAAGCCCUAUACAGAUUAACUAUGCAAUGCAUGCUUCCAGCAGGAUGCACAUCCAAAUGGUUUGCAUGCUCUGCGAAAGGAGCCCAGUGACAAAGUGCACAGUUGGGUGCCAGACUGAUCCCCUGGUCAUGAACGGAUGCCGGGACCUACCAGAAGGAGAAAAGUUGUUUGUGAGAUGUCCAGUUUGCUGCCAAACAUGCAGCAUAGAGAAGACCAGAAAGGGGGCCCUCAUCACCAUCAUGAAGACAUGUCCUCACGGUAAGCAUUCCUAUGAAUGGAACAGUCAGCCACAUUUUGGCAAGUAUGCGGCCAGCAACCUUCACCUGUCAGCGGAAACAGCUUUUACAGGCUCAUCAUUUGUACAAAUACAGAAGAUUCAUGAAAUGCAGAGAGACCAAGCACUCAACACAUCCACAAUGAGGAGUUUACUAAUAAUACAGUACAGCACAAAUGUCCAAUAUUAGCAACACCCUUUUUUGUGUCAAUGAUGAUGGGGAGACCAUAAUUGGGUAUUUUUUUUUCUAACCUGUUAAAACUUCAAUAAAGUAUAUGUUUUAGGGUUGUCACAAUACCAGUAUCGUGAUACUCAAGAGGUAUUGUGGCAAGGAAACAAAACAGUUCAGCAGACUACAUUUCCUGAGUAAAACAGUCCUAAUGUUGGAAACAAGCAGCCUUACAUUGUAGCACACAAUAUUUUAAAUCCGGUAUUCCCAAACUGGGGGGUACAUGUACCCACAGGUUAUAGGCCUCUGUACACCUAUGUAGAUAAAAAAAAUCUGCCGUUUCCAGCUACAAUAGUCAUUUACAACAUUAAC